This 6794-nucleotide long non-coding RNA is filed under the name Sus scrofa (pig). Its description in RNAcentral is "lncRNA (ENSSSCG00000060962.1)". The record is from RNAcentral. Lineage: Eukaryota; Metazoa; Chordata; Mammalia; Artiodactyla; Suidae.
GGCCAGGGAUUGAACCUGAGCCACAGCAGCAACCCAAGCCACUGCAGUGACAACCAGAACCUUAACCCAGGAGAACUCCUAGAAUAUUUUAGAAUUCCUUAUGGAAGGGGAUAAAAGUAGCCAAAGAUUAUUCUCCAAGGUCCUAAUUUCAGCUGGACAACUGACUUCCUGCAGAGCCUUGAAAAUAUAUUUUACCUUUCCAAGUCAAGCCCAUGGCUUUCUCAUUAGUAAAAUUGAGCUAAAUUAUCUUACUAUACUUGCUUCAUAAAUUGUUUUGAAUUCCAAAAAAACCGCUGGGAAGUUUUAAAACUUUUUUUACUUUUUUCCCUCCAAAGAUGAAAAGGGAUCAUCCCUCCAGUGAGGGGAAGACACGACAUCUACAGGAUUAAGUCUUUGGGGAGCUUAAAUGUACAGCAUUUUUAAAAAGGAACCUCAAACCUUCAGCUCUGGAUAACCUCCCACAACCUGAGCCACUGUUUUAAUACAUUCUUAUAAUGCCAAGGUUUUAGAAAGGAGGGUAAAAAUACCUUCUUUGGGUAAUUUUUGUGCAAAUGGAACAGCUUAUUAAAGAUUCCCUCAAUGAGAAUGUGUAAACACUGGUCUUGGCCACAAAAAAUUUCCUGGGGCAAACUUCAUGGUCUGAUUUCCCAGAAAUACCCUGGAAACUGAACAGAAGGAAAUGCCUUAUACUGCUUUGUCUGUACCCACAAAAUAUACAUGUAGGAUCCCACCCAGCCUGAAUUUAACCCUAUGCCCCCUCAAAAGGACAAAAGUAAUAACAAAAAUCCCAUAAUGAGACCAUUGUACAUACAUAUAACAAUAGUAUCUGAACUACCUACACAUAACAGCCGAUGUAAUUAUAGCCUAAAAAGCUGAGCUCAUUCAGAGUGGAAAUGUGAACAGGUGCCCUGUGAUAAUAUUUUCUAGGCAAGAAACCAUUCAAAGUUAGCUCUGCUCCCUUCAGCUCUACUUACUUAAAAUCCAUCCUAAGGUAUAGGGGGAGGAGAACACUUGCUGAUUUACUCAAUUUGUAGUAUUUAAUGGACCUAAGUGAAUAAUUAUAAGAAUACAUGUCAAAUAUUAAUUUAAAAAAGAAAUGUGUCAUUAUUAUAAUUGUCGAUCUGGUAGAAAUUUAGAACAAAUCCCUCAGACUUGUCUUACCAUUUCUCUACCACUAUCUUAUUUCCAAAAUCAGGCUUAUCCGUGUCUUUCUAUCCUAUUCUUAUCCCACCAAACUAGUUUACUGCCAAGAUUAGCCACUUCUGUUAGCAGAUUGGAAGCUGUAGAGUCAACAUCAGCCUUGCUCUCUCCUUCUCUCCAUGUACUCAAAUGAUCAAUAUUCUUCUAAAUAUUUCUUAGAAAUGCCUCUUCAUUUUCUCUGCUACUACAGUGGUCCAAGGCUUUGGCAUCCUGCUAUGAUUGCUUCCAACCUUGCCUUUCCAUCAUUGUUCUCAACACUAGUCACUUUAGAAUCACCUCAAAUAAUUUCAGAAAUACCCCAAACCUUUCAAACAAAUAUCCCUUGAAGGUAUUUCUUGUUGCUUGUCUGUUUCACUCAAUAAGAACUUUUAGUGUAGAGUUGUGUGGAAAUUUUUAUUAUUUUUAAGUAGGAGUACUUCAUAGUAAUAUUUAGAUUCAUAUUGUCAAGGGACAUAUAAGUAUUUCUGGUCCCUGAGUAUAACAUGCCUGUGCCAUUUAUUUUUAGGAGAAAUUUUUCUUUGCCCCAAAUUACUAUAACUGCUAUAACUGAGUUAGGAAUAGUUAUUACCAUCAUAGGAUAUGAUUGAAAGAGUAUAAGAUUGAGGAAUUUGAAUUGUAGUUCUGAUUCUUGGUUAAAGUUAUUUUUUCUGCUAAGCUUCAGUUUUGUUUUGUUUUGUUUUGUUUUGUGAGAAUAAUAAUAUUUUACCACAUACCUCACAGAAUUAUUGUCAGGAUUAAAUGAGAUAACAUGUAUGAAAAAGUAUGAGAUUCCAAAUGCCCUCCUCUUCAGUAUAUACAUUUGAUUUAUAAAUAAACUAUAAACCCUUAAACUUAUUAUAAGUAAAUAUUGCAAUAUAAACAAUAUUUUACAAAAAAAAAGCAUUUUGCAACAGUUAUUGUCUUCACAUAUGCUUACUUUAAACCAGUGGCAGCCCUCUCUACCUAAAGAAGUUAUAAAUCAGAGUAUGUUGAACCCCUCUCAGUCUGACAGCAGACUGAGACUUUCUCCCACAUCUGUAGUCACUCCCCAUUGUCCUUGGCAAACCCUGCCUAGGUCUGCAAAUAAUUCCUGCUCUCUAAUUUCAAAGACAAGAAAAAGCAGCCAGGAGUUCCCAUCGUGGCGCAUUGGAAACAAAUCUGACUAGGAACCAUGAAGUUGUGGGUUCGAUCCUUGGCCUUGCUCAGUGGGUUAAGGAUCCUGCAUUGCCGUGAGCUGUGGUAUAGGUCACAGACGCUGCUCAGAUCUCACAUGGCUGUGGUGUAGGCCAGCAGCUGUAGCUCCAAUUAGACCCCUAGCCUGGGAGCUUCCAUAUGCCCAGGUGCGGCCCUAAAAAGCAAAAAAAAAAAGCAGCCAAACCAACAGGUAAACUGCCAGCCAUGUCCUGCUUCCACACAGGUUCAUCAGACUUGGUUAUCUUCUAAAUUCCCCUGCAAAAGGGGCUGGGGAAAAAUUCAGGAGAAGCCGCUGCUGCAAGUGAGGGUGUUCAUAUUUAAUAAGAAUGCCUCCUCAUUCAUUUGCUGAUGAGAAAGGAGAAUAUGUCUAAAUGUAAAUUAACAGGAUGGCUUUGAAUAGUGCAAGGGAAAGUAGAGGGCCAAGACUAGUUUCAGUCCAAAGCCACACAGCAAUCCCUCAGAGAGAUUUAAAUCUACCUCAGAUCUUAGGUCCCCACUUAAAGAUUAAUCUAUACUAUCUCCUCAUUCAGGGGCUAAGAAAAUAUUCAAGGGAAGUGAAGGAAUUUCUAAUCAUAUCUGAGUAUACUAUAUAAAUCCUAAUUAAGUUCAUAUCCCAAGGGAUCUUAGCCAAAAAACAAACAAAAACUCUUCUCAUAAAAUAGAAACUAUAUCAAAUGUUCUUAUCCUAGAUAUUUAAAAACACAAACAAGUUUUGAUAAUAAUCCAGUACAUUAUUCUGAAUAUGAAUUUAGAGGGUUCUUCAAUUAAACUGUAUUUUAAUGCAAUAUUUAUUUAUUUUCUUAUCAGUUGAGAAAUUAUUUAUUAUGUUGAAGAUAAAUUGGCAAAAUACAUUUCUUCUACCUAAAAUAUUAAAUGUAGUGUUAAGUUUCUCAAUCAUUUGGAGUUGUUGAAUCUUUCAAAAUCUGAUGAAAGAUACAGCUGCUCUUACCAGAAAUACACAAAUAACUGUAAAAUCUGCAUCUGUUUGAAAGGAUAAAGACUACUUAAUCCUUAUUAAGAUCCCUUAAUGUUGCAGGAAAAAUAGAUAUGAAGAUUUGUGCAAUGUAAUAUUAAAGCAAUAAAUCUGCUGUAAGAGAUCAAGGAGCACUUAUUUAAGUGUAAAAUGCUGUUAAGAUUCAUGAUGGAGGAAACUUUGGGCCUUGUCCUUGAAGGAUGAAUAGAACUUUGCCAGACAGAGAUGGGGUAGGAAGAAAACAUUCAAGUCUACAGGAUAGCAUAAACAAAAGUAGGGGAUCAUAUAAAUAUAUGAAUAUUAGUCAUUUUCCAACAAGAAAAAAUUUAAAGUUCCACUAGAAAGUUUAGAUUUCAUCCUACAUAUAGUGCCAAGUCAUUAAUGUUUUUUAAGCAAAGGAGGGAAAUGGUCAGAAUGGUGCAUUAGAAAGAUUAUCCUAGUGACAGUAAAGAAUUAAUUGGUGUAGAUAAAGAUGAAAGGUUGAGAGAAGGUAAUUUCAGUGGUAUAAAGGAGAAGUAAUGAGUCAGUGGCAAUAGACUUAUAUAACAAAUGACAUUUCAAAGGUAGAAUCAAGUAAAAUUGACCAUUGAUUAAAAUGUGGAGGAUGCGGGGGGAAGGAGGGAUUAGAGGUGAUUACAAAUAAAUGUCUUUUUAAAUGUUAGGAAACAUAGAACAUGAAGCAUAUUUUGAGUGGAAGAUCAGUUUAUUUAGGCAGAUUGAGUUUGAGCUAUUAUUCCUGAAAAUAAAAUAUUUUGCUUAUGAAUCUGUCCAGUAGAAUACUGUUAGUAUUAAUAACUACAAUAUUAAAAGAAAAGGAACUAAAACAAAAUUUUGAGAUUUCAUCAGGAAAUUGUUCACUAACCCAAUUUUCAGCUCUUAUUCAAACAAGUAGGAAUUCAUGUCGUUAAAGUUUUUUUUAUUAUAGUUGAUUUACAAUGUUCUGUCAUUUUCUGCUGUACAGUAAAGUUAGACAGUUAUACAUGUACAUAUAUAUAUUCUUUUUCUCACAUUUCCUCCAUAAUGUUGCAUCAGAAGUGAUUAUAAUUCCCUGUGCUAUACAGCAGGAUCUCAUUGCUUAUCCACUCCAAAUGCUACAGUUUGCAUCUGCUAACACCAAACUCCCAGUCUAUCCUGCUCCCUCUGACUCUCCCUCCCCCUUGGCAACAACGAGUCUGUUCUCCAUGUCCAUGAGUUAGUUUCUUUUCCAUAGAUAGAUUCAUUUGUGCCAUAUAUUAGAUUCCAGAUAUGUGAUGUCAUGUGGGAUGUCUUUCUCUUCCUCACUUCACUUAGUAUGAGAGUCUCUAGUUCCAUCUAUGUUGCUGCCAAUGGCAUUAUUUUGUUCAUUUUUAAGGCUGAGUAGUAUUCCAUUAUGUUAUACCACAUCCUCUUAAUCCAUUCAUCUGUCGAUGGACAUUUAAGUUGUUUCCAUAUCUUGGCUACAGUGAACACAGGGGUGCAUGUAUCUUUUUCAAUUAAAGUUUUGUCUGGAUAUAUAUCCACGAGUGGGAUUUUUGGAUCAUAUGGUAGUUCUAUAUUUAAUUUUCUGAGGUACCCCCAUACUGUUUUCCAUAGUGGUUGUACCAAUUUACAUUCCCACUAACAGUGUAUACCUUUGAACACAGACAAGUUUACAAAAUAAGCAAUGUUGCCAUCUCAUCAAAAACACUGAUUUCUUCCAAAGAGAAAGAAUCUCAUCAAAAGAGUUUAGGCAACAGUUACUUGACAACAUUAGGCACCAGAACUUUUAUCAAAAACCAGCUUCCUACCUCAGACUCAGCUCUCUAAGAAUUCAUUGAGAGCCGAAUGAGAUCAUCUAAUGCAACCUUCCUGAGUAAACAAAAAAGCUAAUGCCCAGGGAUAUUAAAGAAGUCACUUUGGUAAUAAACAACAGAACUAAAACUUUUGUAUCCUGAUUCCCAUUUCAGGUGUGCUUUCCCCAGUCCCAUAUUUUCAAAUGUUUCUUUGAGUCUUGAAUUAACCCAGUGGACUUGAAGUUAACCUAUGUCCCACAAAGCAGACCUCAGGAGAAUACUGAGCUGCCAUACUGAUGGAUUAUUGGGGUUGUUUCCAACUGUUUGGGCAGAACCACUCAAGCAGCUGGCUGGGUUGAGGAAUGAGUGACUACACACAUUUGUGCUUAGUGCAGAAAUGGUUAGAAAGCAGAUAUGGUUUCUCCCUAAGUGGCCACCACCUUCCCAGUGGCUGCUAAGAGAUCUGAUAUUGUAAAAUUCCAUGUCCUCCACCCUCCAGCCUGCCCUUCUCUCUCACUGAACCUCAUGCCCCCAAAUUAGCUAUCCCUAUUCCUUACUUGAGAGAAUUCUGGUGCUUAAAAAUUACUACUCUGGAAUAGAGAAGCAAUGUAAUGAAAAUAAUCUUUGAACUUCAAAAUGAAGCUACAGUGAAAGGGCCCCUUCACUACACUGUUAGAGGAGCAGAAACUAAACGCUUUAUCAAAAAUGGUUGGAAAAUCAGACUCUCUGGGAGCAGGACUGGGAAUCUGUUCAAAAAAACUCUACAGGCUCUAAUGUUUAGAAAGUUUAGAAAAAUCUCCAACAUAAUGUGUAUUCAGAUUAUUUUCCCUAAAGUUACAUUUUGAAUGUUCCAUUUCAGUAGCUAAUCUAAGACUCUUAGAUGUGACAAGAGAAACACAAAACUGCUGGAGAUGGAAUGUGACACCGUAAGUCCUGGAACUAGAAGGUAUUGGAUAUUUCAUCCAGCAUCUUGUUUUUCAUGUAGAAAAAUUCUUCAUGCAUUGCAAAAAUUUCCCAGUGUCACACAUUCAUAGAAAGGAAGACUGAAUGUAUUGUAAAUUUUCCUAUCUUUUUCUUUAGAUUACUGAUAGAAAGUAAAAUUCAAAAAAGGAUAUUAAUUUCAACUUAAUUCCUGACGGAGAAAAAAAGAAACUAAAUGCAGACAAAACUUGAUAACCAAUUUACCCUCCAUAUGCUAAAUGAAUAACUUGCUCUCUGCUUAGGUAUCAAGCAAAGAUUUAUGUACUCCAAAAUAUUCAACUCACUUGACACUUUACAGAAGAAAAAACAGCAGGCCUCUCACUUAGUGAGACCUGUUUCGUGGCUAUUUAUAAAUGGAGUAGAAUAACAAAUCAUUAGGACAUGUUUGAGAGGGAGAAAAAAGCAUGAAUAACUAUAGUUAUUAUAUUUCAUGUGUGUCAGUCUACUAUCUGAGCAUUUAUAGAGCCCAUAGGAGGAAUUUUUGAUAUUUCUUUUCAGUUAAAACCAGCUGUUAAAAUUUAUAGCUUUUCUGGUUCACAGAAAACUAUGGCCUUUGUAAAGGAAGGGUGUUGGGCUUCUAGGAAGUAGAGAAUAAAUGAUAUUAUGAAGAAAUAUUACUUUUCAACUUAUUUUAUACUGGCUCUAUAUCACAGUCUAACUUCAGUGCUUCUCCAGGACCUUCUAGAAAUCACAGAAAAGUAAAUCAUAUUGGAAAA